CAGUAGAACGCUGAAGGAAGGAGCUUGCUCUUUCCGGAUGAGUUGCGCAUGGAUGAGUAACGCGUAGGUAACCUGCCUGGUAGCGGGCGAUAACUAUUGGAAACGAUAGCUAAUACCGCAUAACAGUAGAUGUUGCAUGACAUUUACUUGAAAGGUGCAAAUGCACCACUACCAGAUGGACCUGCGUUGUAUUAGCUAGUUGGUGAGGUAACGGCUCACCAAGGCGACGAUACAUAGCCGACCUGAGAGGGUGAUCGGCCACACUGGGACUGAGACACGGCCCAGACUCCUACGGGAGGCAGCAGUAGGGAAUCUUCGGCAAUGGACGGAAGUCUGACCGAGCAACGCCGCGUGAGUGAAGAAGGUUUUCGGAUCGUAAAGCUCUGUUGUAAGAGAAGAACGAGUGUGAGAGUGGAAAGUUCACACUGUGACGGUAUCUUACCAGAAAGGGACGGCUAACUACGUGCCAGCAGCCGCGGUAAUACGUAGGUCCCGAGCGUUAUCCGGAUUUAUUGGGCGUAAAGCGAGCGCAGGCGGUUAGAUAAGUCUGAAGUUAAAGGCUGUGGCUUAACCAUAGUACGCUUUGGAAACUGUUUAACUUGAGUGCAGAAGGGGAGAGUGGAAUUCCAUGUGUAGCGGUGAAAUGCGUAGAUAUAUGGAGGAACACCGGUGGCGA
Molecule: ribosomal RNA, 676 nt
Filed under: uncultured bacterium
Lineage: Bacteria
Description: bacterial SSU rRNA
Rfam family: Bacterial small subunit ribosomal RNA
Source: RNAcentral